Molecule: ribosomal RNA, 521 nt
Filed under: uncultured bacterium
Lineage: Bacteria
Description: bacterial SSU rRNA
Rfam family: Bacterial small subunit ribosomal RNA
Source: RNAcentral
AGAGUUUGAUCCUGGCUCAGGAUGAACGCUGGCGGCGUGCUUAACACAUGCAAGUCGAACGAAGCACUUUGGACAGAUUCUUCGGAUGAAGUCCCUGGUGACUGAGUGGCGGACGGGUGAGUAACGCGUGGGUAACCUGCCUCAUACAGGGGGAUAACAGUUAGAAAUGGCUGCUAAUACCGCAUAAGCGCACGGUACUGCAUGGUACAGUGUGAAAAAUUCCGGUGGUAUGAGAUGGACCCGCGUUGGAUUAGCUAGUUGGCAGGGUAACGGCCUACCAAGGCGACGAUCCAUAGCCGGCCUGAGAGGGUGGACGGCCACAUUGGGACUGAGACACGGCCCAGACUCCUACGGGAGGCAGCAGUGGGGAAUAUUGCACAAUGGGGGAAACCCUGAUGCAGCGACGCCGCGUGAGCGAAGAAGUAUUUCGGUAUGUAAAGCUCUAUCAGCAGGGAAGAAAAUGACGGUACCUGACUAAGAAGCCCCGGCUAACUACGUGCCAGCAGCCGCGGUAAUACGUA